This 867-nucleotide unclassified non-coding RNA is filed under the name Bradyrhizobium lupini. RNAcentral describes it as "partial contains 16S ribosomal RNA gene, 16S-23S ribosomal RNA intergenic spacer and 23S ribosomal RNA". The stretch from base 189 to 262 matches the Rfam family "tRNA". The record is from RNAcentral. Lineage: Bacteria; Pseudomonadati; Pseudomonadota; Alphaproteobacteria; Hyphomicrobiales; Nitrobacteraceae.
CUAAGGAUGGUUCUUCAGAAGCUUGCUUCUAUCGAACCGUUUUAGAAACAUCAGUGGCCAACGAUCGUCAGGAUUGUUGAGCUGCAUUGGCGGGAUUUCGCCGUCUUCGUUUCUCUUUCUUCGCGGACGAACACGCGCUGGGGCUGCAAGCUUGCAGAAUCCCUGGUCCUUGACUGGAUAUGCGUUAGGGGCUUGUAGCUCAGUUGGUUAGAGCGCGCGCUUGAUAAGCGUGAGGUCGGAAGUUCAAGUCUUCCCAGGCCCACCACACUCAUCGAGUGAGCAUUCGUCUUCUGGUUACGGGGCCAUAGCUCAGCUGGGAGAGCGCGUGCUUUGCAAGCAUGAGGUCGUCGGUUCGAUCCCGUCUGGCUCCACCAGAUGGUUUGAUCAUCGACUGAUCGUGCACCUAAAUCGUCCGCGAAACAUCACUUCGCACUUACUAGUCCGGAUGGACAGUAAGCUGCGUGAUUUCUGACAUCGUAAAGAGGAGAUCGAUCCGAGUUGGAUCGGGCAACAAGCAAUUGUUGCGCGAUACUUCAUUAUCUCCGGAUCAUUUCGGCGCUCGUGCGCCUUUCAAUGUAGCUCACAAGGCUGCGUCUGAGAGGAAUGCGAGUUGUAAAUGAUCCUUUUAGCGAAGCUUGACCGCCUCGCUAUCGGAACGAUCUUACGAAGCAAGCUGGUCUUUCUAAUCAUUGUCCGGCUGCAGAUAGCGUUCAUCGAGGGCGCGUGCCGCAAGGUAAUUCUGCAGACAACAUUCUGCCGAGUGUGUGGACAUUGAUAAUGAGAGCAAUCAAGUGCCUUAAGGGUGUUCGGUGGAUGCCUUGGCGCUGAGAGGCGAUGAAGGACGUGCUACGCUGCGAUAAGCCGUGG